This 84-nucleotide transfer RNA is filed under the name Planctomycetota bacterium. RNAcentral's name for it is "Planctomycetes bacterium tRNA-Leu". It matches the Rfam family "tRNA". From Rfam's summary of the family: Transfer RNA (tRNA) molecules are approximately 80 nucleotides in length. Their secondary structure includes four short double-helical elements and three loops (D, anti-codon, and T loops). The record is from RNAcentral. Lineage: Bacteria; Pseudomonadati; Planctomycetota.
GGGCGAGUGGCGGAAUCGGCAGACGCUGGGGACUUAAAAUCCCCUGGGGGCGACCCCGUGCGGGUUCGAGUCCCGCCUCGCCCA